AAAACACCUUUUCUCCGAGGACGUAAAUUUCUUCCGAGGACUUUUUUUACGUCCUCGGUAAAAAAUUCUCUAUUUCGUUAGAAAAUGUCGAACUAAAUCACGUGGUGAAGUUUGGUGAAAGUCCUCUGAAGGUUAGUAACAUGUGAAUAUGUGUUACGUCGUCACACAAUUUUAUCCCUCUGCCAUAACACACUCUGCAUAUUUCCGACGCGGGUGGGUGCGCGCGCAUCCGAAUGGAAUUUUUUUAAUGCGCGCGCAUCGGCAUGCCGGAAAUCAUGAAAGGUCUUUGCUCAGCAUCAUGAGCAUGACAUGGUUUGCAUUAUUUACAACGGUGUUGCAUGGUAGACAUUCUCGGACUGGAGUCCCUGUUUAGGGGAAAGCUAGCUUUGUUGAAGAGGAUGAAGAUGUGGAUUCAGAAAGUAAAGAUUUGAGAAUGGAGGAUGAUGAUGAGAGUCUUGUUGAUAGCUUUGAUCAUGAAGAUAGCCCAGAUGAAAGUGUUGUUUGUCCAAUUCAACAAAGAGCAGAGAAAUCGCUGAAAGCAAAACCAAAACGAGUUCCAUGGACAGACACGGAGAAAAAAAAGCUGUGAAGUCUGAGCUUGGACACUUUAUAAGUAAACUAAAGGUUCCUGGCAAGCUGGAGUGUGAUAAAAAGAGAAAAGAACUUUCCAGGAGAACGUGGAAGGAUGUAAAGAACUUUGUGCACAAUUCUAUACAAACUGUAAAGAGGAAGUACCAUUUUAAGGACUAAACUUAAAGGUUAAAGUUUUUGGUGCACUGAAUUUUCUGAAACUUUGUAGGUAUCUCAUACAUAAUGUGUAGAUUUGUAUAUUACCGAGAAAUUUUGAUUCCAUUAGGCCUUAUUAAUCUAGAAAUGUCAGCCCAAUUUAAUUUGUUACAAAGAAAGCUUUGAAUGUUGUUAUAUGCAAGAAGUUUUGAUAUGAUGAUUUUUUUGCAAAUUAUGCCCCUUUUUAAAUGUAUUAUACUGUGUAUUUAAAGUGCACCAUGUCACGCAUUGUCAAGUUUCAGGGGAGCAUGGGCUAUGUAAGCUUACUCACUUUUUAUUUCAUGUAUAUAGUAUGUGCAAGCCUUCAAAUGAAAUCUACUGUGUAUUGGUUAAGAAAAUUACUUGCAUUACAUGUAACAUGAUAUGUAUUUUCACAUGAUGUUAUAACCCCAACAAACAAUGUUUGGAAUUGAUCUUUGAUUAGUAUUUGUCCAUUUUUGACAGUUCUAGUAUUUGUUAUGAUGUAUGAUACAAUUAUGGAACGUAACAUUGAAAGUUUACUGUUCAAAUUAAAUUAUAUGCUAAAAAUGAAUUUGUAAUGUCAUAUUUGUUAUGAUACAGUAUUUUUCUAUUGUAAUGUAUGCUUAAUAAUUAUACUAAAGAGAAAAUUAUAUAUGGAUGAAAUAAAAGAUGAAGUACUGUA
Long non-coding RNA from Saccostrea cuccullata (small rock oyster), 1429 nucleotides. RefSeq lists it as uncharacterized. The transcript is spliced from 4 exons. NCBI's taxonomy places the organism in Eukaryota, Metazoa, Mollusca, Bivalvia, Ostreida, Ostreidae. The record is from RefSeq and is a predicted model, not a curated record.